RNAcentral lists this long non-coding RNA (1281 nucleotides) under Spirodela polyrhiza (greater duckweed). Its description in RNAcentral is "long non-coding RNA (SPOL_LNC002182)". Lineage: Eukaryota; Viridiplantae; Streptophyta; Magnoliopsida; Alismatales; Araceae. The record is from RNAcentral.
CUGUGUCUCUCUCCUACAGGCGCCAUCAACCUGGUCGCCAUGAGCUCGUACGAGCCCAUGUUUAGGGGUGGGGGGAGCAGGAUGACCCCCGCGUCGGCGUUGGUAAGGGUAGUGCCCUUGACACCACCCACCGUCGGCUGUCUUAUCCGCCGCCGCUCGGGUCGCCCCUGGCGUCUUGGGAGGUUUAGAGAGGCGCAGCGGUUCCCUUCUCAAAAACAUCUCACCCUAACGAUAUCGAGGCGACAUUAAUCGCGGGGAUGCCUGGCCAGAAGGAGGGCGCCGCAGGCAAACGUUCCUUGUCUGCGCCGGAGAGACCAACGAGCAGGGAACUACCACUGCGCGUCUCCUCCGGAAAGUGUACCCCACCGACGACCGCAGCUUGAGCGCCCCCCCCCCCCCCCCCGGGUCCUGCCCUCGACCACCGGGCGGGAAGGGAGUGGGAGGAACUACUGCUUCUGCUGGGCGGCAGUAAAUGGCAUCGGCUUCGUCUCCCUUCCUGCCCUGCGCACGUAGCGGAUCAACAGCAACGAGAGACAGACACGAACGGCAGGGUCGUCAUUAGUCAGUCCUUGGGGAAUCAUGCACCGAACCGAUCAUAUUUCCUUCUCCGUUCCCCAUCGUUGCCUGCCUCCGUGUUCUCUUCUGCAUGCAAGCAUGCUCGCAUGCAUGCAUCAGAUGGGUGGGGAGGGGAGGAAAGGGGCACUUCCCUCUCCUGCACUGCGCGCAGCCGGGCUGAUCUCGUCGCGAAGAGCGAUCCCCAGAUGGGACGAGGGCGUACGGUGUCUCCUGAUUCAAGAUUUGUCCGCUCUCCUCCGCCAGUAAUGACGAGUUAAUGAUCCGCCAGGGGGCGGCACUCUCUGCCCGCCCCCGGUCGCCGUCGCGCGCGGUCCACGCGCCGUGUUGAUGGCAAUCACUGUCGACGUGACGAGACCCUGGAAGGAAGGAACGAAGGAACUAAGAAAGGAGGCAACGAAGGAAGGAAGAAAAGGCUGGUGGGGCCCCCGCUGGCUGACUUCCAGUGACCGCAGGGUCCCACGGGGACGAAUGAGACCGCUCUUUUUGGAAGUGGGGCCCACUCAGCCGCACCCCCCCAACACGGCACUGGGGGAGUUUCCCCAGGGGGCCCGCGCAUUAAAUCGCCGACCCAGACGCUCGCGCCGCUCCGGAGCAGACGUUCAUUGAACGGGCGCGGGGGGAAUCCGGAGGGGGCUGGCACGCGAUCCACUAUUCAGUCGCGCGGGUGGCCCGGGUAGUCGCACGCGCCGCGCUCGGUCAACCGAG